This 440-nucleotide ribosomal RNA is filed under the name uncultured bacterium. RNAcentral describes it as "partial 16S ribosomal RNA". It matches the Rfam family "Bacterial small subunit ribosomal RNA", at positions 338 to 795 of the family's 1533-position model. The record is from RNAcentral.
CCUACGGGAGGCAGCAGUGGGGAAUAUUGCACAAUGGGGGAAACCCUGAUGCAGCGACGCCGCGUGGGUGAAGAAGUACUUCGGCGUGUAAAGCUCUAUCAGCAGGGAAGAAAAUGACGGUACCUGAUUAAGAAGCCCCGGCUAACUACGUGCCAGCAGCCGCGGUAAUACGUAGGGGGCAAGCGUUAUCCGGAUUUACUGGGUGUAAAGGGGGCGUAGACGGCAGGACAAGUCAGGAGUGAAAUGCCGGGGCUUAACCCCGGGACUGCUCUGGAAACUGUGUGGCUGGAGUGCAGGAGGGGUAGGUGGAAUUCCUGGUGUAGCGGUGAAAUGCGUAGAUAUCAGGAGGAACACCAGUGGCGAAGGCGGCUUACUGGACUGUAACUGACGUUGAGGCCCGAAAGCGUGGGGAGCAAACAGGAUUAGAUACCCGAGUAGUC